This 301-nucleotide ribosomal RNA is filed under the name uncultured bacterium. RNAcentral describes it as "partial 16S ribosomal RNA". It matches the Rfam family "Bacterial small subunit ribosomal RNA", at positions 509 to 809 of the family's 1533-position model. The record is from RNAcentral.
CAGUCGCCGCGGUAAUACGGAGGGAGCUAGCGUUGUUCGGAAUUACUGGGCGUAAAGCGCACGUAGGCGGCUUUGUAAGUUAGAGGUGAAAGCCUGGAGCUCAACUCCAGAAUUGCCUUUAAGACUGCAUCGCUUGAAUCCGGGAGAGGUGAGUGGAAUUCCGAGUGUAGAGGUGAAAUUCGUAGAUAUUCGGAAGAACACCAGUGGCGAAAGCGGCUCACUGGACCGGCAUUGACGCUGAGGUGCGAAAGCGUGGGGAGCAAACAGGAUUAGAUACCCGAGUAGUCCCUGUCUCUUAUAU